GUUAUCUUAUAUGUACUCUGCACCGAACUAUGCAACACAUGUGGCUGGAUUUUUAUACUGGCUAAUGGUCUGUCAAGACAAAACAAUCCUCUCAUAAUGCACAGCCUGAUGUAGGCCUGUGUUAUCGAUGCAGUUCUGGUAAAAGGAUAUACAUACUACCACAUUAUUAAACAUGCUGUUAAAUAUGCUGUACUCUGUAUUAACAUGUGAACUUUAUCACUUUUGUGGCUAAAGCGGUGCAUUUGUCUGGCAUUGUGUUGCCAUGCUAGAUCAUAUUUGUUGACAUUAUGACACUGUUUCCUUAUUUGCACAAUAGGUAUGCUAUGAAGUAGAUAUACAAAA
Molecule: non-coding RNA, 342 nt
Organism: Pelobates cultripes (western spadefoot toad)
Lineage: Eukaryota; Metazoa; Chordata; Amphibia; Anura; Pelobatidae
Source: the annotation of a GenBank genome assembly